RNAcentral lists this ribosomal RNA (817 nucleotides) under Allomonas enterica. Its description in RNAcentral is "bacterial SSU rRNA". It matches the Rfam family "Bacterial small subunit ribosomal RNA", at positions 34 to 832 of the family's 1533-position model. The record is from RNAcentral. Lineage: Bacteria; Pseudomonadati; Pseudomonadota; Gammaproteobacteria; Vibrionales; Vibrionaceae.
CGUAUCUACAGCUACCUACACAUGCAAGUCGAGCGGCAGCGACAACAUUGAACCUUCGGGGGAUUUGUUGGGCGGCGAGCGGCGGACGGGUGAGUAAUGCCUGGGAAUUGCCCUGAUGUGGGGGAUAACCAUUGGAAACGAUGGCUAAUACCGCAUGAUAGCUUCGGCUCAAAGAGGGGGACCUUCGGGCCUCUCGCGUCAGGAUAUGCCCAGGUGGGAUUAGCUAGUUGGUGAGGUAAGGGCUCACCAAGGCGACGAUCCCUAGCUGGUCUGAGAGGAUGAUCAGCCACACUGGAACUGAGACACGGUCCAGACUCCUACGGGAGGCAGCAGUGGGGAAUAUUGCACAAUGGGCGCAAGCCUGAUGCAGCCAUGCCGCGUGUAUGAAGAAGGCCUUCGGGUUGUAAAGUACUUUCAGCAGUGAGGAAGGAGGUAUCGUUAAUAGCGGUAUCUUUUGACGUUAGCUGCAGAAGAAGCACCGGCUAACUCCGUGCCAGCAGCCGCGGUAAUACGGAGGGUGCGAGCGUUAAUCGGAAUUACUGGGCGUAAAGCGCAUGCAGGUGGUUUGUUAAGUCAGAUGUGAAAGCCCGGGGGCUCAACCUCGGAAUUGCAUUUGAACCUGGCAGGCUAGAGUACUGUAGAGGGGGGUAGAAUUUCAAGUGUAGCGGUGAAAUGCGUAGAGAUCUGAAAGAAUACCGGUGGCGAGAGCGGCCCCCUGGACAGAUACUGACACUCAGAUGCGAAAGCGUGGGGAGCAAACAGGAUUAGAUCCCUGGUAGUCCACCCGUAAACGAUGUCUACCUGGAAGGUGUGGCCU